GAACUAAAUUGGACGGUUGCGCCAUAUGUUGCCGAAAGGUAUUAUGGUGAGGAAAGUCCGUGCUUCGCAGGGCAGGAUAACUGAUAACGUCAGCCGAGGGUGACCUUAGGGAAAGUGCAACAGAAAACUACCGCCUCUUUGAGGUAAGGAUGAAAACGCGAGGUAAGAGCUCACGAUAUUCUAUGGUAACAUAGAGUAGGUGUAAACCCUAUCCGAAGCAACACCGUAUGAAGGGAUUUUUAUUUGCCCGAUAAGUCUUAUGCGUCCCUUUAGGUGGCACACAUUUUGUGGAGCUUUGUGGUGACAUAAAGCAAAGAUAGAUGACCGUCUUUAACAGAACACGGCUUACAGAUUUAGUUCUAAA
RNAcentral lists this RNase P RNA (364 nucleotides) under Clostridia bacterium. RNAcentral describes it as "RNase P RNA component class A". It matches the Rfam family "Bacterial RNase P class A". Rfam says of the family: Ribonuclease P (RNase P) is a ubiquitous endoribonuclease, found in archaea, bacteria and eukarya as well as chloroplasts and mitochondria. The record is from RNAcentral. Lineage: Bacteria; Bacillati; Bacillota; Clostridia.